RNAcentral lists this ribosomal RNA (449 nucleotides) under uncultured bacterium. Its description in RNAcentral is "bacterial SSU rRNA". It matches the Rfam family "Bacterial small subunit ribosomal RNA", at positions 329 to 793 of the family's 1533-position model. The record is from RNAcentral.
UUCCAGACUCCUACGGGAGGCAGCAGUGGGGAAUAUUGCACAAUGGGGGAAACCCUGAUGCAGCGACGCCGCGUGAGUGAAGAAGUAUUUCGGUAUGUAAAGCUCUAUCAGCAGGGAAGAUAAUGACGGUACCUGACUAAGAAGCCCCGGCUAACUACGUGCCAGCAGCCGCGGUAAUACGUAGGGGGCAAGCGUUAUCCGGAUUUACUGGGUGUAAAGGGUGCGUAGGUGGCAUGGCAAGUCAGAAGUGAAAGCCCGGGGCUCAACCCCGCGGACUGCUUUUGAAACUGUCAGGCUGGAGUACAGGAGAGGUAAGCGGAAUUCCUAGUGUAGCGGUGAAAUGCGUAGAUAUUAGGAGGAACACCAGUGGCGAAGGCGGCUUACUGGACUGUAACUGACACUGAGGCACGAAAGCGUGGGGAGCAAACAGGAUUAGAUACCCUAGUAUG